Molecule: ribosomal RNA, 253 nt
Filed under: uncultured bacterium
Lineage: Bacteria
Description: partial 16S ribosomal RNA
Rfam family: Bacterial small subunit ribosomal RNA
Source: RNAcentral
GACAGAGGGUGCAAACGUUGCUCGGAAUCAUUGGGCGUAAAGCGCACGUAGGCGGCCUAGCAAGUAGGGAGUGAAAGCCCUCGGCUUAACCGAGGAAGUGCUUUCUAAACUACUAGGCUUGAAUACUGGAGAGGGUCGCGGAAUUCCCGGUGUAGAGGUGAAAUUCGUAGAUAUCGGGAGGAGCACCAGUGGCGAAGGCGGCGACCUGGACAGAUAUUGACGCUGAGGUGCGAAAGCGUGGGGAGCAAACAGG